AACAACUCUUAGCAACGGAUAUCUU
RNAcentral lists this ribosomal RNA (25 nucleotides) under Thaumatomonas seravini. RNAcentral's name for it is "partial 5.8S ribosomal RNA". Lineage: Eukaryota; Cercozoa; Imbricatea; Thaumatomonadida; Thaumatomastigidae. The record is from RNAcentral.